This 137-nucleotide ribosomal RNA is filed under the name uncultured bacterium. Its description in RNAcentral is "partial 16S ribosomal RNA". It matches the Rfam family "Bacterial small subunit ribosomal RNA", at positions 355 to 486 of the family's 1533-position model. The record is from RNAcentral.
UAGGGAAUCUUCCACAAUGGACGCAAGUCUGAUGGAGCAACGCCGCGUGAGUGAAGAAGGUCUUCGGAUCGUAAAGCUCUGUUGUUGGUGAAGAAGGAUAGAGGCAGUAACUGGUCUUUAUUGACGGAAUCAACCAG